This 1190-nucleotide long non-coding RNA is filed under the name Canis lupus familiaris (dog). RNAcentral's name for it is "lncRNA (ENSCAFG00845010687.1)". Lineage: Eukaryota; Metazoa; Chordata; Mammalia; Carnivora; Canidae. The record is from RNAcentral.
CGCCAGGGAGGGUGGGUUCUGUAGAGGAAAGGUCCCUGGUUGAUCCACUGGAGCUGCAAGUGGUCUGUGUCUGCAGUGGAACCUGACAGCCCCCAGGGCGUGGCAGCUACCACCCUGCUAGAAGGUAAACAUCCCACAGAACUGCCAGGGUUGGGGAGGGGCUGGGCAGAGACCACCCCCGAUGCCUGGGCUCCUGGACUGGCUCCAUCCCCCCACUGAUCCAGGGCACCAGAGCUUAGCAAGUGACCUGGUGCACAGUCUGCCCCCGUACAGACGAGGAGCCUGGGGACCUGGUCUCAGGCUGCUGUGACCAUCUCUGCCAACCUCUGGGAAUGCUCGAGAACUCUGCCCCAGGGAGUCACUUCCUUCUUUAAACCUGGGUUUUCUCAGCUGUAAAGUGGAUGGAACCGGGUGCCCUCCUCCCGGGGGCCACUGUGUGGGCAGAAGGCAGCUGGCAGGCCUUGAUGGAGCUGCUUCUGCAGUUUGACAAAGGUCCCUCCAGACGAGUCUGCUGAGUCUGCCAGCUUCCUAGAGUGCCCCAGGAACUGGCUGAGCUGCAUUCCAGACCCCCUGGCACAAGGACAAAGUUCUUGGAGGGGGUCUGUGGCUCUGAACCUGACUUUCCAGGCCCGGUCAUCUCAAGAGAGAAGGAGGGGCAGAGGUAGAGAGAAAGUCCUAAGCAGGCUCCACACCCAGCAUGAAGCCCAGCAUGGGACUCGAUCUUGUGACCCUGAGAUCACCACCUGAGCCGAAAUCAAGAGUCAGACGCCUAACUGACUGAGCCACCCGGGCGGCCCAAGAUUUUGUCUUUUUGUGUAUGAUCAUCCCAGUGGGUGCCAAGUAGCAUCCUGGUGAGCUUUGAUUUUCAUCUCCCCGGUGGCUCCUGUUGAGGUCUUCUCAUGUGCUCCUUAGUCAUUCAUAAGCCUUUGGUGUAGUGUCUGCUGAAAUCUUUUGCCAAUUUUUUUCUUGAAUUGUGUAUAUCAUCACUGAGUUUUGAGAGUUUACUUAUAUGUCCCUCAUACCAGUCCUUUAUCACAUACACGUAUGUAUGUUUUAUAAGUAUUUCCUCCCAGCUUGCUUCUUUCCUUUUUAAUUUUCUUAAUGGUGGCUUCUGAAGAACCAACAUUUUAAAUGUUGCUAAAAUCCUGUUUAUUAAUGAUCUUCUCUGACGGGUUGCCCUUUUGCUCUUC